GGUAUGUCGGAAACACAUG
RNAcentral lists this non-coding RNA (19 nucleotides) under Arabidopsis thaliana (thale cress). Lineage: Eukaryota; Viridiplantae; Streptophyta; Magnoliopsida; Brassicales; Brassicaceae. The record is from RNAcentral.